GCAUUCUCAUACGCCUUUUCUCUCCCUUCUUUGGAGUCACAAACAUGGUCCAAAACGCCCAAAGCCUUUUCACAUAUGCUUUUAUCUCCAUCAACAAGAACCUCUAUAAUCAGAGAGACCAAACCCAGUUCCACAAAUAUUGAUGCAAUCUUGUGGCUGAUUGCUGAAGGAGAUAUCAUGUAGAAUAUAACCAUUAAUGAAGCCUUCGAGGAAGCUGGGCAAAUUGGCUCCUUGAUUAACUCGACUAGUGCUUGAAUAACUCCUUCUAUCUCCACCAAGGUAUUUACAUGCUUUUGAUCUAAAGAAAGAAGCUCUUUAAGUACCAAAACUGCACUUUGUCUAGCUGAAAGGUCUCCGUUACUCUUCAAAAGCCAUAACAUGCAACGUAAAGAAAUCACUGAUCCUAGCUUGGUUUGGCCUUCUCCACCAAGCGGAAACAU
Molecule: unclassified non-coding RNA, 440 nt
Filed under: Hevea brasiliensis (rubber tree)
Lineage: Eukaryota; Viridiplantae; Streptophyta; Magnoliopsida; Malpighiales; Euphorbiaceae
Source: RNAcentral